RNAcentral lists this small RNA (1135 nucleotides) under Pan troglodytes (chimpanzee). RNAcentral's name for it is "retained intron". Lineage: Eukaryota; Metazoa; Chordata; Mammalia; Primates; Hominidae. The record is from RNAcentral.
CGCGCAGUCACCGCGGAGCAGACGCGGAGGCUGGUGGCCCCUGGGCGAGAUGCCGUACGCUAACCAGCCUACCGUGCGGAUCACGGAGCUCACUGACGAGAAUGUCAAGUUCAUCAUCGAGAACACCGACCUGGCGGUGGCCAAUUCGAUUCGGAGGGUCUUCAUCGCUGAGGUGCCCAUAAUAGCCAUUGACUGGGUUCAGAUUGAUGCCAAUUCCUCAGUCCUUCAUGAUGAAUUCAUCGCGCACAGGCUUGGAUUAAUUCCCCUCAUUAGUGAUGACAUUGUGGACAAGCUGCAGUACUCUCGGGACUGCACAUGUGAGGAGUUCUGCCCCGAGUGCUCGGUGGAGUUCACCCUCGAUGUGCGGUGCAAUGAAGACCAGACGCGACAUGUCACGUCUCGAGACCUCAUCUCCAACAGCCCCCGGGUCAUUCCGGUGACAUCCCGGAACCGAGAUAAUGACCCCAAUGACUACGUGGAGCAGGAUGGUAAGUCUUCCUGACCUGUCACCGUGUGGGCCAGCGGGAAGGAGGGACCAGACACAGCCUCUCGUGCUGCCUGGUCUCCUCGAAAAUUGGCUUUAGACCAUUUUUCCAGAUGUGUGUGGUCUUGCAGUGGCACUCCAAGUCAGAAUUUGGAGAACCAUGUCUCUCCUGGCCCUUGACUGGCUUGUGCCUCUCCCUGCAGACAUCCUCAUCGUCAAGUUGAGAAAGGGCCAGGAGCUGAGACUUCGAGCCUAUGCCAAAAAGGGCUUUGGCAAGGAGCAUGCCAAGUGGAACCCUACUGCAGGGGUGGCUUUUGAAUACGAUCCAGACAAUGCCCUGAGGCACACAGUGUACCCCAAGCCCGAGGAAUGGUAUGUUCCCCUUAGGAGUGAUGGCAGGCAUUUGGGGUGGGUGUGGCAUAGAAAUGGCUGUUGUUGACUGAGAUGUGGCAGGCUCUCUAGGAACUUGGGUGCCCCAAAAGGAGCAGUGGCAACCUUGUGCUGACCUGUGUUUGACCUCAGGCCAAAGAGUGAGUACUCGGAGCUGGAUGAGGAUGAGUCGCAGGCUCCCUAUGACCCCAACGGCAAGCCAGAAAGGUAAGAGCCUGGUCGGACAUGGGAAGGUGAAGUGUGGAAGAAGGGAUGGUUUUG